CGGAACGGGUGAGUAACGCGUGAGGAACCUGCCUCAAAGAGGGGGACGAACAGUUGGAAACGACUGCUAAUACCGCAUAAGCCCACGGUGCCGCAUGGCACAGAGGGAAAAGGAGCAAUCCGCUUUGAGAUGGCCUCGCGUCCGAUUAGCUAGUUGGUGAGGUAACGGCCCACCAAGGCAACGAUCGGUAGCCGGACUGAGAGGUUGAACGGCCACAUUGGGACUGAGACACGGCCCAGACUCCUACGGGAGGCAGCAUG
This 260-nucleotide ribosomal RNA is filed under the name uncultured bacterium. RNAcentral's name for it is "partial 16S ribosomal RNA". It matches the Rfam family "Bacterial small subunit ribosomal RNA", at positions 98 to 353 of the family's 1533-position model. The record is from RNAcentral.